GUCUAUGGCCAUGCCAUCCUGAACACGCCUGAUCCCGUCUGAUCUCGGAAGCUAAGCCUUGGAUGGGAGAUCACCUAGGAAGACCAGGUGCUGUAGGCA
This 99-nucleotide ribosomal RNA is filed under the name Pteropus alecto (black flying fox). Lineage: Eukaryota; Metazoa; Chordata; Mammalia; Chiroptera; Pteropodidae. The record is from RNAcentral.